GCUCCUCCCCCGCCUCCCCCUCCUCUCCGAAACGGGCACUCCUCCUCCGUCCCUCGCUCGUUUGCGGAUGAUUUUGAGUCCAAGUACUCGUUCCAUCCUCUGGACGACUUCCCUCCUCCGGACGAGUACAGACACUUCACCAAGAUCUACCCGAGCAAGGCCAACAGAGUGAUGCGAGGAGCUCCUCCCCUUCCUCCGGUCGGGAGGUGAACCAGGAAGAUCACACCCUGGACCACACACACACAGAGACACACACACACACAGAGACACACACACACACACAGAGACACACACACACACACACACACACACACACACAGGCCGCUUUGUCUGUCAACCUGUAGCAGCAGGCAGGCCCAGUUGCUAUAGCAGCCGGUAAACACGGACGCUUUCCUCCAAUCAUACUGCGGUGACAUCACACUGCUGCUUUAUCAAGAUGGGACGGUCCAACAGGAAGUCAGGAGGUGAAACCAAAAAGAGAACAGAGAGGGGUGUGUCACCGAGACUGACCCAGGCUGCAGAUAACGCACACAGAUCAAUACCAGCACACACUUCCUGUUCUGAUCAGACGUGGAGGUCAGAGGUGAAAGGCUGCACUUUGACACCUAAAGGUUCAACUCCUCCUCAGAUGUUGCACAAACUUAAUUCAACUGUUUCCUGACUUAAAUAAAGGUAAUCGAAUAUAUCACUUAACGAAGACACGGAACUCUUCAGAUUACAAAUGUUCUGAGAGACCUGUGCUUGCCCCGAUGUUGAUGUGACACACAUAUAAUCAACUCUGUGCAGCUUUGCCGCAGUUCUGCAAAACGUGAUUAUGGAGGGAGAACAUGCGUCCUCCUUACAUCAGGGAAGCAGCACAAACCAGUGAUGGAGAAGUAAACAAGAGAAUAUUUGUUAUAUUUGCAUGAUGAUAAAAUAUUUGCUGCUCCAGCAGCUGUUCAGGCUUGAUGGGAAGAUUUGUUGGACAUGCAGUCAGAGGGGUUUACCCUGUGCAGACC
Haplochromis burtoni (Burton's mouthbrooder) is the source of this 998-nucleotide long non-coding RNA. RefSeq lists it as uncharacterized. The record is from RefSeq and is a predicted model, not a curated record. The transcript is spliced from 3 exons. Lineage: Eukaryota; Metazoa; Chordata; Actinopteri; Cichliformes; Cichlidae.